CAUGUAGGCGGAUUAAUAAGUUUGAAGUGAAAUCCUAUAGCUUAACUAUAGAACUGCUUUGAAAACUGUUGAUCUAGAAUGUGGGAGAGGUAGAUGGAAUUUCUGGUGUAGGGGUAAAAUCCGUAGAGAUCAGAAGGAAUACCGAUUGCGAAGGCGAUUUACUGGAACACAAUUGACGCUGAGAUGCGAAAGCGUGGGGAGCAAACAGGAUUAGAUACCCCCGUA
Molecule: ribosomal RNA, 225 nt
Filed under: uncultured Arcobacter sp.
Lineage: Bacteria; Pseudomonadati; Campylobacterota; Epsilonproteobacteria; Campylobacterales; Arcobacteraceae
Description: partial 16S ribosomal RNA
Rfam family: Bacterial small subunit ribosomal RNA
Source: RNAcentral